UCUGCCUGCCCCACCCUGCUGUCAGGAGUCCCAGCCACCAGGCCUGUCUCUGUCCCUGGGCCUUCGUGGGUGGUAAGUGUCUUUCUAAAGCCACCCACUGUGUCACUUCGGGGGGGGGGAGAGACUGGCUGAAGACCCUCUUCUGUAUUUGGCGGUUCUUACUGCCUGCUUUCAGACAAGGCACUGGCCACGUGGGCCACCUCCACAGCUGGACCCACGUCCCCCCGUUCUGAGCUGGCUGCUUAGGGAACAAGUACGAGCUGGGGAGGGGGACUUAGCCCCUUCCCUCCUGACAUCAGCACCAAGGCCAAGGUCAAAGGGUGAGUGGACACUUCACUCCAGCAAGUCCCAGCCUCCUCACCUGACACCCUGCAACAGAGACAGGAACCCCAAGCGGCUAAAGCACUGGGGGACGCCCAGACUGCGCCUUCCCUGGACCAAGUCCUCCAGGAGCGGGAUGAAGCCAUUGCCAAGAAGCAGGCCCUGCAGGUCGAGCUGGACUUGUGCAAGGCCAGGCUACGUGCAGUGGAGGCCCAGCUGCUGGAGGUGCUGGAGGACAAACUGAGGCUGAAACAGGAGGUGGAGGCCUGGGAGGAUGACAUGCAGCAGCUGGUGAGGCAGCAGGUCCAGAGGCAGCUACAGUGCGAGUCCAGGAGCGCCCAUGAAGACCCCAAAACGGCCAGGAAGCCUUGGACUGGCCUCUCCCUGGGCCAGUGGGGGCCCUGGCGGUGACAGAGCUGGGCAGGAAACCCCUGGGAAUUCGGUCUUUAUUCAUUAAAACUGUAAUCAACUCCA
This is a long non-coding RNA of Ochotona princeps (American pika), 795 nucleotides long. RefSeq lists it as uncharacterized. The transcript has 3 exons. Lineage: Eukaryota; Metazoa; Chordata; Mammalia; Lagomorpha; Ochotonidae. The record is from RefSeq and is a predicted model, not a curated record.